Long non-coding RNA from Olea europaea var. sylvestris, 712 nucleotides. RefSeq lists it as uncharacterized. The transcript is spliced from 2 exons. NCBI's taxonomy places the organism in Eukaryota, Viridiplantae, Streptophyta, Magnoliopsida, Lamiales, Oleaceae. The record is from RefSeq and is a predicted model, not a curated record.
UAUUUUAUACAUGUUAUCUUUCCUGGUAAUUAUGAUAUGCAAAGGCAGUAACACUUUCACUUCCCAUCUUUGUGGAUGAGUGCUUAGCUACUUAAAACAUUGGUGCAAUUAAUCUUUAUGAGCUUCAGCCAAGUCCUGCGCUUCAUUGUCCAAAUUUUAACCUUCCACUCAAUCCAGACUAAUGACACAUUGCAUACACAAUUAUAUAUUAAUUUAAUCAGAAAGCAGCUGACAGGAUGUUUAUCUUGCCAGAAUCCAUGCAUUUAUCACUGAGAAGGGCAACUUAGCUGAUAUGUUACAUUAAAUUGUCCAGGCUGUAGGUAGCUUCAGAAAUACUGCAAUUAAAAGCAACUUAUUUUAUAUAUUUACGUCCUCUUGAAUAUUAUAUUUGGUAUCAGCACAGUCAUAGUAAUAAGUUUGUCAUCUACCUUUCCUGCAGUACUAUUUUUUACUCUGCUGCUAUUUCGUAGGGAACUCUCAGUAAUGGGACACAAGUUGCUGUGAAGACACUUUCUGCUGAGUCACGACAGGGAGAGCGGGAGUUUUUAACUGAAAUUGAUACUAUAUCCAAUGUUAAACAUCCAAACCUUGUUGAAUUAAUUGGAUGCUGUAUUCAUGAAAGUAACCGAAUUUUGGUGUAUGAAUAUUUAGAAAAUAACAGCCUAGAUCGUGCAUUAUUAGGUUUGAGGAGGACAACAAGUUUGGACUGGAG